RNAcentral lists this long non-coding RNA (2387 nucleotides) under Musa acuminata (dwarf banana). Its description in RNAcentral is "long non-coding RNA (MACU_LNC000355)". Lineage: Eukaryota; Viridiplantae; Streptophyta; Magnoliopsida; Zingiberales; Musaceae. The record is from RNAcentral.
CUGUUGUUACUGAUGUGUUACUCGUGACGCUUGAAACCGCAGUAAGGCGAUCUCCCUGGCCUGUGAUUGGCGGGAGAGAGGGAUUUUGAGUGGGUCCGGGAUGAGUUCAUAUCGGUGGAGGACCAGAAGGAAGGUAGAAGAGGGUGGGUCGGUUCCAAAGGGUUAAGAAAAGCCGGAUGGAAGCAUUUGUCAUGCGUUAUGGCCGUCCACAUCUGACGCUGCCGUCGGGACGAGGUCGACGUUGCCGGCGACGGCGGGCCCGUGGCGUCCCCAUUAGUCUCUCGACACCUUCGCCGUCCGUCGUUCGUUCUUUUCUUUUCUUGCUUUCUUCUCCAUGUGUUUUUCCGCCAACAAAUAAUUAUUUACGUUGAUUGGAGAUCAAUUUGUUUAUGAGAUGAUCAUUAUUUAGACUUGACAGAAAAUAACAGAAAACGACGAUUUGAUAUAAAUCAAAUCAAAACGUAUGAUCCGAUCGCGGUUCGAUUUGAAUAGCUAAAGCAUCGGAAUCAAAUCGGAUUAAUUGUUUGAUGAUUUCAAAUCAAAUCAGAAUCAAUGGUUUAGACUAUGUUUCAGAUCGAUAAAAAAAAUACAAAAAAUCUCAACAAUCAAAUGUCAUUCUAAGUAACAAAUGUCUUCCUUCUAACAAUUAAUUAGAGAAAUAUUUUAUAAUAAAAAAAGAUAAUUUCGGUGCGAAACCUGAAUUAUGAAAUCGAUUCAAUUCGGAUUUCAAAUUAUCGAUCCUAAAACCAGAAUCAAUACUAUCAAAACUAAUGAUUGGUGAGGCAAAGAAAAGAACAAUACCAUACCAUGAAAAGGCAUGUCCUCCCCCGACUCAAACCACCAAACAAAACUGGAGGGUAAGAGGCGGAAGAAGACGACGUAGGAGUGUUGGUAGGCGGUCCAAGUUCAGUGCGCAUGGAAUGAUGCAGAAAGCAUGGGGGCGAGCACCGGCACAUGCAUGCAUCCAUGGCGGGCUCCUGCGCUCGCCAAGCUUCCACGCACAGCUAUCAAGCACCGCCGCCUCUUAAUUGUCCCAACAACAGUAGACUCAAAACCUUAUGCUUUUACGACCAUAACAUGUAAAUUAUAUACCGAUGCGCAAAAAUAUUCGGAUUUCAUUUUUUUUCUCAUUAACAUAAAAUUUUACUUAUAAUUAAUAGUUUUCUAUUAAAUUUAUAUUGGGUCUUGGCUUUUUUGAUGAUCAACUUUGACCCCCUUGCAUCAAUCUCGAAGCAGAUGCGUCGAGAAGAGAUACCAUCAGGGCCUUUAUUCGGCCCAAUCUACCAAUUUUGAGCUCCACAUCUGUGCCAUAUCCGUGAAGCCCAUAAAACCCAGUAAGAAAGAAUACCGUCGCCUUCGUCGAGCAACUUACACCCGCUGGGCUAAGGUUAACUCGCUCCGCUCACUAAAACUAUUUAAGACACCAACUUACACCCAAGUAGAGAACGCUUCGAUGACAUUUAUAAUAACUACACGAGCAAAAUGAGCCGCAAAUUGACCGCGCAGAGAACCUUCGACCAUCAUAUACCAUAGAGAUAGUAUAUGAUCAGAGGAAAAAUAUUACCAAUGUUAAAACAAAGAUAUUGAUGUCUGUUUCCAAAAUCAAGUAAUAUUAUGGAUUCAGUUUCAACUACAUAAGAUACAUUGAUAAUUUAUUAAAAUCAUGUAUUGGACUAUCGACUGAUUCAUUUGUAUAACUGUAGAAAUUUUUUUAUACCAUUAAUUUAUAAAUUUUUUAUAAGAGGUAAAGAUCCCAAAAAAAAAAAGGUUACUUAAAAGAGUCCUAAUUAGAUUCUAACUUGUUUUAAGAUUAGAAUGAGGCUCGGGUUUGUGAAAGGCCGUAACUGCAGGCAUGAUUGAUAUGAGAGGCUUCAUCUGAGGAGUGUAGGAUUUAUGUUAGCCCAAGAGAGAUAUUACUUUUAUUUAUUUUUUAAAAUAUUUUUUAAUAAAAAAGAUUCUUAUAUAUUAUUUAUUAUUAAUAUAUAAAUUUCUCUUUUUAAUUUUAAUUUUUUUAUUUUAAGGCCUUCUCUCCCUCCAUCACAUUGAAGUUUCGAAUCCAAACCCCGAUAACAAAGGAAAAGAAGCAGAAGUUUGAGGCCGCAAGAAGCAAAAGAAACCCACAAAGGGCCAAACUUCAAAACCUUAUACCAAAAAAGACGAUCGAUGCGCAAGAUAGUACAGAGCUCUUACCUUGGAUUUCCGCUUCCCCGUACCCUCCNNNNNNNNNNNNNNNNNNNNAUUGAAGCUUCGAAUCCAAACCCCGAUAACAAAGGAAAAGAAGCAGAAGUUUGAGGCCGCAAGAAGCAAAAGAAACCCACAAAGGGCCAAACUCCAAAACCUUAUACCAAAAAAGACGAUCGAUGCGCGAGAUAGUACAGAGUUCUUAC